GACGAACGCUGGCGGCGUGCUUAACACAUGCAAGUCGAACGGAAAGGCCCUGCUUUUGUGGUGUGCUCGAGUGGCGAACGGGUGAGUAACACGUGAGUAACCUGCCCUUGACUUUGGGAUAACUUCAGGAAACUGGGGCUAAUACCGGAUAGGAGCUCCUGCUGCAUGGUGGGGGUUGGAAAGUUUCGGCGGUUGGGGAUGGACUCGCGGCUUAUCAGCUUGUUGGUGGGGUAGUGGCUUACCAAGGCUGUGACGGGUAGCCGGCCUGAGAGGGUGACCGGCCACAAGGGGACUGAGAUACGGCCCAGUCUCCUACGGGAGGCAGCAGGGGGGAAUAUUGCACAAUGGGCGGAAGCCUGAUGCAGCAACGCCGCGUGCGGGAUGACGGCCUUCGGGUUGUAAACCGCUUUCGCCUGUGACGAAGCGUGAGUGACGGUAAUGGGUAAAGAAGCACCGGCUAACUACGUG
Molecule: ribosomal RNA, 468 nt
Filed under: uncultured bacterium
Lineage: Bacteria
Description: partial 16S ribosomal RNA
Rfam family: Bacterial small subunit ribosomal RNA
Source: RNAcentral